This 247-nucleotide ribosomal RNA is filed under the name uncultured bacterium. RNAcentral describes it as "partial 16S ribosomal RNA". It matches the Rfam family "Bacterial small subunit ribosomal RNA", at positions 29 to 295 of the family's 1533-position model. The record is from RNAcentral.
AGCGAACGCUGGCGGCAGGCUUAACACAUGCAAGUCGAACGGGCGUAGCAAUACGGUCAGUGGCAGACGGGUGAGUAACGCGUGGGAACGUACCUUUUGGUUCGGAACAACCCAGGGAAACUUGGGCUAAUACCGGAGUAAGCCCUUACCGGGGAAAGGAAUUUAUCGCCAAAAGAAUCGGCCCGCGUCUGAUUAGCUAGUUGGUGAGGUAACGGCUCACCAAGGCGACGAUCAGUAGCUGGUCUGA